UACAGAGGUCCCAAGCGUUGUUCGGAUUCAUUGGGCGUAUAGGGUGCGUAGGCGGUGCCGCAAGUCAGGUGUGAAAUCUCGGGGCUUAACCCCGAAACUGCAUUUGAUACUGCGGUGCUCGAGGACUGGAGAGGAGACUGGAAUUCACGGUGUAGCAGUGAAAUGCGUAGAUAUCGUGAGGAAGGCCAGUGGCGAAGGCGAGUCUCUGGACAGUUCCUGACGCUGAGGCACGAAGGCCAGGGGAGCAAACGGG
RNAcentral lists this ribosomal RNA (253 nucleotides) under uncultured bacterium. Its description in RNAcentral is "partial 16S ribosomal RNA". It matches the Rfam family "Bacterial small subunit ribosomal RNA", at positions 524 to 776 of the family's 1533-position model. The record is from RNAcentral.